This 497-nucleotide ribosomal RNA is filed under the name Brevibacillus agri. RNAcentral describes it as "bacterial SSU rRNA". It matches the Rfam family "Bacterial small subunit ribosomal RNA", at positions 406 to 894 of the family's 1533-position model. Lineage: Bacteria; Bacillati; Bacillota; Bacilli; Caryophanales; Paenibacillaceae. The record is from RNAcentral.
CGAUGAAGGUCUUCGGAUUGUAAAGUUCUGUUGUCAGGGACGAACACGUACCGUUCGAAUAGGGCGGUACCUUGACGGUACCUGACGAGAAAGCCACGGCUAACUACGUGCCAGCAGCCGCGGUAAUACGUAGGUGGCAAGCGUUGUCCGGAUUUAUUGGGCGUAAAGCGCGCGCAGGCGGCUAUGUAAGUCUGGUGUUAAAGCCCGGGGCUCAACCCCGGUUCGCAUCGGAAACUGUGUAGCUUGAGUGCAGAAGAGGAAAGCGGUAUUCCACGUGUAGCGGUGAAAUGCGUAGAGAUGUGGAGGAACACCAGUGGCGAAGGCGGCUUUCUGGUCUGUAACUGACGCUGAGGCGCGAAAGCGUGGGGAGCAAACAGGAUUAGAUACCCUGGUAGUCCACGCCGUAAACGAUGAGUGCUAGGUGUUGGGGGUUUCAAUACCCUCAGUGCCGCAGCUAACGCAAUAAGCACUCCGCCUGGGGAGUACGCUCGCAAGAG